GGACCCAUUUGAUUAAGAAGAACAGAAGCCUACUCCAGCUAGCUGAAGAGGAGAGGUUUUGAUAAGAAUUUGAAGAGUGCUGAGGAAUCCAAGAGAAACUUUUUGUCAAAUUGAUUCCACCCCCACAGCCCCAGUGAACUUGAGGACUAAUUUGUAAGGAAACAUUACAGAUACAGUUGAAGCCCAUUGUAUGCGCUUUACCUCUUUGUCCCUAGAGGUAACCAGUCUCCUGAAUUUGGUGUUUAUUAUUCCUAUGAAAGUUUCAAAUGAUUACA
Long non-coding RNA from Physeter macrocephalus (sperm whale), 275 nucleotides. RefSeq lists it as uncharacterized. The record is from RefSeq and is a predicted model, not a curated record. The transcript is spliced from 3 exons. Lineage: Eukaryota; Metazoa; Chordata; Mammalia; Artiodactyla; Physeteridae.